RNAcentral lists this ribosomal RNA (253 nucleotides) under uncultured bacterium. Its description in RNAcentral is "partial 16S ribosomal RNA". It matches the Rfam family "Bacterial small subunit ribosomal RNA", at positions 524 to 776 of the family's 1533-position model. The record is from RNAcentral.
UACAGAGGGGGCAAGCGUUGUUCGGAAUUACUGGGCGUAAAGGGCGCGUAGGCGGCCUUCUAAGUCGAACGUGAGAUCCCCGGGCUCAACCCGGGAACUGCGUCCGAUACUGGAAGGCUUGAAUCCGGGAGAGGGAUGCGGAAUUCCAGGUGUAGCGGUGAAAUGCGUAGAUAUCUGGAGGAACACCGGUGGCGAAGGCGGCAUCCUGGACCGGCAUUGACGCUGAGGCGCGAAAGCCAGGGGAGCAAACGGG